Mus musculus (house mouse) is the source of this 1470-nucleotide long non-coding RNA. RefSeq annotates it as predicted gene, 32992. Lineage: Eukaryota; Metazoa; Chordata; Mammalia; Rodentia; Muridae. The transcript has 3 exons. The record is from RefSeq and is a predicted model, not a curated record.
CAAGUUCCCACAAGCCUGCGUGGCUCCAGUCUCUAAUCAGAGCCUGUAUCUGGCACAUGGCUUCGUCUUUGCCCUUGGGCUCCCUGAGAAACCCCGGGAUCUCUACGGUACACCGUCUCUGGCAUUUACGGACUGUGGCAGAAACCAUGAGUGAAUUCUGAGGCUGCUGAGUUUGCUGAACACUUGUUUGGGGCACUCUGAACUAUAAGGCCCAGGACACAGAGAAGAGGCAUGCAUGGAUGGUAAUUUAAGAACUAGAAUAAAGCCCAAGAAACCUCAGCAACAGAACAAAGGAAGAGCCCAUUACCAGGACCUGUAGGUAAAUGCACGGUACAGUAUGUGCAAAUCUGUGCAUGGCUGGUGACUCACAUAAGAAAUACAAAGUAGAAUGAGAUACUGUUUCACAGAGUCUAUGAUUAUCUGGCAGUUUGUAAGAAAGCUAUUAGUCACUUCGGGCGAUGACAGAGGAAACAGGUGUUCUCUUAUGCUCACAGCCUGAGGGCAAAUUGAUUUUACCUUUCCAGGGGAGUGGUGCCAAUUUUUCUCUGUGUAGCAGAAUUCUUAACAUCUUGCACAACUUUUGACCUUUGAGAGUUUAUUUUCAGGAAACAGUGAGGCUAUGCACACAAAUUUAGUGACAUCCUCACUUUGAUGUUAUUUAUAGCAUUGAAAUUUUAAUACAUUAUCUGUCCAUUAAUAUGGGCAUCAUAAAGCAAAUUCCAGACAUAAAAUAGUGUUGUGGAUUAGUUUUAAUAAGACAAGAGUAUGAUAAUAGCAUAUCAAGUUUAAUACCUAGGCUUUAAAAUGUAUGUUUUGUAGUAUUACAAAAGAUUCUUCUUGUAGCAAGCAAUGGAAAUUCAACAAAAAAUGGUUAAGAGAGAGAAAGAAAAGGAAUGUAUUGCUCUCUACUAUUGGAAAGCCCAGGGGUCAUCAUGCCUUCAGGCAAGGUGGAUCACCAUUCGACAGCCCCUCCCUACCCCUUGCCGCCCACCCCCCCAAGUUGAGCAGUAUCCCUCUAGUAGGCUAGAUCCCCAGCCCUUGGCUCAGUCUUAUUUUAUAUUUACCCUUGAUAUUUAUAUUUACCCUUGAUAGACUUUAUUUGAUUUAUUUUGCAUCUCAGCCACAGUUUGCCCUCCCUCCUCGCCUCCAAGCCUCUCCCCGAUCCCCUUCUUCCCCCUUUCUUCCCUCACCAUCUCUUCAGAACAGGGCAAGCCUUGAUGGAUAUCAGCCAGCCAUGGCAUACCAAGCCGCAAUAUGACUAGGCACCUCCUUUUCUUUUAAGCCUAGACAAGGCAGCCCAGGAGGAGGAAAGAGUCCCAAAGGCAGGCAACAGUCAGAAGCAGCACCUGCUUCCACCGUUAGACGUCCCACUGAAGGCCAAGCUACACAGCUGUAAAGUAUGUGUUUCUACAGGGGUGUUAAAGACGACUGUCAGCGCCACUGGGCUUGUGGAUUUUGUUUGUGGUUUUG